Long non-coding RNA from Portunus trituberculatus (swimming crab), 3013 nucleotides. RefSeq lists it as uncharacterized. The record is from RefSeq and is a predicted model, not a curated record. The transcript is spliced from 3 exons. NCBI's taxonomy places the organism in Eukaryota, Metazoa, Arthropoda, Malacostraca, Decapoda, Portunidae.
GUAAGCACCAAAAGCCACAGAUAAAGAAAGACGUACCAUUCUGCGCAUCGGCAGUUUUGCUCUAGCCACAGCUGCGUUUGCAACAGAGAAGAAACCUACUAUUCAUUACAUCAGAAAAGUCAUUCGGAGAGACUCCAAUCAACAAUGAGUAUCACUUUCCGAAUGAACGUUGCAGUUUUAAUCUUGGUGGCAAUCACAAUUAUGACAGAGGGGCAGCGUGAUUUUAACUGCAGACCAGGACCCCUUCGACGGAGAGGAGUUUGUAUUCCUAGGAAUGAAGGUAGACCUGCCUCAUCAAGACGACCUCCAGCGCGUCCUUUCGAUCGUCCGCAUCAAAUAGGGGGCCUACCUCCUCCAAUUGGUUUAAAUCCUGACAAGUGUCGAAUGGUCUGCUCGACUAUUCAUCAGCCGGUCUGCGAUAGCAAUGGGGUGUUGUACGGAAACAGUUGUGAAUUUGAAGUCAUUCGUUGCAGAAAUCCUUCUAUUGAAAGAGGAUCCUGUUAAUUGUCACUGGUAAAAAUACCAAUAAACUGCUCAUGUCUACGACAUUUAACGAACCUGCACCUCUCUCUCUCUCUCUCUCUCUCUCUCUCUCUCUCUCUCUCUCUCUCUCUCUCUUUCUCUCUCUCUCUCUCUCUCUCUCUCUCUCUCUCUCUCUCUCUCUCUCUCUCUCUCUCUCUCUCUCUCUCUCUCUCUCUCUCUCUCUCUCUCUCUCUCUCUCUCUCUCUCUCUCUCUCUCUCUCUCUCUCUCUCUCUCUCUCUCUCUCAUUUCUUGCCGGUGACAGAACAGGUGGGAAGCUUUUGUCGUUGCCCGCUCAAAGACUGCACUGGGUCGUCUCCAAAACGGUUGCAUGCAUCUCAUACAUGGUUACUUCUGUCGCAGGAAAAACACAACCAUGCUGUGGCGAUUGAUUAGUCCACCUUAUAGCAAUGGUUAGAAUAGUUAUCGCAGUGUCCCAAUCUAGUGAGCUUGCGUAGACGAUACUAUUUUUGUUGUCACGGUGAAAAUAGAACCUUUUGCAUUUUUCUGAUAUUUGGAAAGUUCCUCAUGUUUCCCUACAAUAAUAAUAUUUUGAAUAGGGUAUAACUUCUCAUUUUGAAUAUCAGGUAUUUUAAUUACUUUACUAGUAUCAGAUAGAAUGUGCAUGUUGCAUCAAUGAGAUCAUGGAACCAAGUGUGGUUUGGAUCAGUAGGGGUCAUUCUCUACGUCUGCACAGGAUCCCCUAAAGCGGAGGUGCCUCUGGUGAUUUUUCUCUACCAGUUGGAGAGACCUGAGGAGGUAUUAUGUUGAUUCUCCUUGAAAUGAUUAGUGCUUCCGUGUCAGAGACACAUCUCUGUGUGCUGAAUGCAUAACAGAGAUUGUACUUUCUAGCAUGGAGGUGUACAUUCCUAACUCUUUCUCUUAAAACUAGAUCUUUCAAACUUUGGUUAAACACAGCCUGUUCUCGUGUUAUAUAUGAGAGAGAGGUUGCCCACAAAAGGUACGUGAGCCUUCCAUCACCUGAAUCGCAUGUGUUUUAUAUGUCUGCCCAGAAUCAUGCCAACUCUGUUCUCCAAUCUGCCAAACACUCCUUCAUUAUGAAAAAAUGUCAAAAUCUUUCGAGAUCCAACUUUCCUCGAGACUUUUGGCAUCUGGCCAAAAAUAUCUCCAAUAACUUUACUUCUUAAUCUUUCCCUCCUUUAUUUCAGCCUGAUGGCACCACUGCCAUCACAUCUGGCUCUGAAGUUGAACUCUUCUCUCAAAGUUUUGCUAAUAACACUACGUUGGAUGAUUCUUGGCUAGUCCUUCCCUCUCCUUCAUCUGACUAUUUCAUGGCAUCGUUUGAAUUAUUCAUUAUGAUGUUUUCCAUGCUCUCGCUGCCCUAAACCAUCAGAAUGCUUAUGAACCUGAUGGGGUCCCUCCUAUUGUUUUCAAAAACUGUAUCUCCUUGCUUACACUUUGCCAAGGGACAUUUUUGUCCAUGUAUGGAGUGCUCUUCGCAUGUAUGAGGGGGUUCCACUCGUACAAGUUUAUUAGAUAUGAUAGAAUCAAAAGCUUUUUGCCUUAUCAAUUCCUUUCUUCGGAUUGACUGUCUUCAACCUCUUUUUCACUGCCGCAGUGUUGCGGCUCUUGCUAUCUUCUACCACUGUUUUCAUAGCAACUGCUCUUCUGAUCUUACUAACUUUUUCCUCCUCCUCCUUUCCUCCUCCCGCGGCCUUACAACACAAGACUUUUCUUCCUUUUCACCCUUUAUAUGUACACUUCUAAUGCAAGAGUUAACCUUUACACUCAACCAUCCAUACAUUUCUUUGGUAAACUCUAUAGCUCCCUACAUACUUCUGUAUUUCCACAUUCCUAUGACUUGAACUGAUUUAUGAGAGAGGUUUCCAGACAUUUAUCCCUUUUUUUGGCUAACACUCUUGGAUCUGGAAGGGAACUGGCAGUUAAGUGGCUAUUUUUGUUUACUCUUUUUGUUGCCCUUGGCCAGAUUUCACCUCUUACUCAAAGAGUGUGUCUUCAAUCUUACUAACGUCUAGAUUUUUAUUCCCAUCUGCCCUCUCAUGAGUUGUUGGUAGUACACCUUUGCUAUUUUACAAAAAAAAAUUGUUAAAACUUUUUUUCUACAUAACUUUUUUGUUCUAGUCAAUGAGAGUGACGGCUUCCUUCUUUGUGGCUACCGAACUCAAGCUAUUUGAAAUAUAAAAAAAAGUUAUUUCUUACAAUUUUAGUUAAGUCAGAUUCAUACUUAUAGUUAUCUGCAGCUUUCUGCAGUUCAAAGUUAGUUACACUUGGAGAUAAUGUUGCCCCAAACAAGUGAGCUGGUAUUCUGAAUUCAGCUGUGAUCCUCAAGGUCAACCAGAGAAAUAUUAACGUCUUUAUGCUUUAGGUUUAUCUUCAAUUAGUGGUACGUUGCUUUUACACCACAUGUGAGUGCAAUAUUUUCUUGGCUUAACCUGUAUAACACUUUAACAAGUUUGUUCAAAUGGUAAUUUGUAACAGAUGAUUUACACUACAAUAAAAUUUAACUCUCAA